This 495-nucleotide ribosomal RNA is filed under the name Grammomys sp. Its description in RNAcentral is "partial small subunit ribosomal RNA". It matches the Rfam family "Bacterial large subunit ribosomal RNA", at positions 1854 to 2579 of the family's 2925-position model. Lineage: Eukaryota; Metazoa; Chordata; Mammalia; Rodentia; Muridae. The record is from RNAcentral.
AUUGCCUGCCCAGUGACUUCUGUUAAACGGCCGAUGUAUUCUGACCGUGCAAAGGUAGCAUAAUCAUUUGUUCCCCAAUUAGGGACUAGUAUGAAUGGCUAGACGAGGAUUCAACUGUCUCUUAUUCCCAAUCAGUGAAUUGACCUUCCAGUGAAGAGGCUGGAAUAAAACAAUAAGACGAGAAGACCCUAUGGAGCUUUAAUUAACUAGCCUAAUUAUAAUAAUAACCCUAAUGGAACAAAAACAUAAACAUUAGCUUUUUGGUUGGGGUGACCUCGGAGAACAAAAACCCUCCGAAUGAUUAUAGCACAGACAAACAAGUCAAAGCAAUCCACUAUAUCCAAUUGACCCAAAAACACUUUGACCAACGGACCAAGUUACCCUAGGGAUAACAGCGCAAUCCUAUUUAAGAGUCCAUAUCGACAAUUAGGGUUUACGACCUCGAUGUUGGAUCAGGACACCCCAAUGGUGCAGAAGCUAUUAAAGGUUCGUUUG